AUCCCUGUAGCGCAAUGAAUAGCGCGUUGGACUUCUAAUCCGAAGGUUGUAGGUUCUAAUCCAACCUGGGAUG
Trichonephila clavipes is the source of this 73-nucleotide non-coding RNA. NCBI's taxonomy places the organism in Eukaryota, Metazoa, Arthropoda, Arachnida, Araneae, Nephilidae. The record is from the annotation of a GenBank genome assembly.